UAGGUAGUGAAAUCCUGGGGCUCAACCCUUUAACAUUAUUUAAACUGCUAAGCUAGAAUAUAGAAGAGGUCGCUGGAAUUCCUUGUGUAGGAGUGAAAUCCGUAGAUAUAAGGAGGAACACCGAUGGCGUAGGCAGGCGACUGGUCUAUUAUUGACACUAAGGCACGAAAGCGUGGGUAGCAAACGGGAUUAGAUACCCCGGUAGUCCACGCCGUAAACUAUGGAUGCUA
This 230-nucleotide ribosomal RNA is filed under the name uncultured Candidatus Saccharibacteria bacterium. Its description in RNAcentral is "partial 16S ribosomal RNA". It matches the Rfam family "Bacterial small subunit ribosomal RNA", at positions 588 to 818 of the family's 1533-position model. The record is from RNAcentral. Lineage: Bacteria; Candidatus Saccharimonadota.